Molecule: ribosomal RNA, 252 nt
Filed under: uncultured bacterium
Lineage: Bacteria
Description: partial 16S ribosomal RNA
Rfam family: Bacterial small subunit ribosomal RNA
Source: RNAcentral
UACGAAGGGGGCUAGCGUUGCUCGGAAUUACUGGGCGUAAAGCGCACGUAGGCGGAUUGUUAAGUCGGGGGUGAAAUCCUGGAGCUCAACUCCAGAACUGCCUUCGAAACUGGCGAUCUUGAGUCCGGGAGAGGUGAGUGGAACUGCGAGUGUAGAGGUGAAAUUCGUAGAUAUUCGCAAGAACACCAGUGGCGAAGGCGGCUCACUGGCCCGGUACUGACGCUGAGGUGCGAAAGCGUGGGGAGCAACAGG